GCAACCUACGGGAGGCAGCAGUGGGGAAUAUUGCACAAUGGGGGAAACCCUGAUGCAGCGACGCCGCGUGAAGGAAGAAGUAUCUCGGUAUGUAAACUUCUAUCAGCAGGGAAGAAAAUGACGGUACCUGACUAAGAAGCCCCGGCUAACUACGUGCCAGCAGCCGCGGUAAUACGUAGGGGGCAAGCGUUAUCCGGAUUUACUGGGUGUAAAGGGAGCGUAGACGGCAGAGCAAGUCUGAAGUGAAAGCCCGCGGCCCAACUGCGGGACUGCUUUGGAAACUGCCCGGCUAGAGUGCUGGAGAG
Molecule: ribosomal RNA, 305 nt
Filed under: uncultured bacterium
Lineage: Bacteria
Description: bacterial SSU rRNA
Rfam family: Bacterial small subunit ribosomal RNA
Source: RNAcentral